UAGGGCAGGUCCCGGCGGAGGCGUGGCGAGGCAGGCCGAAGGAGUGUCUCAGGGGCAGUGUGUCUUACUGGAAACCGGAGAAGUCAGAAGCAGGAGUGCGUUUCCGUGAUCCGGUGUCACAAUGAUAAAUCACCCAGGGAUGUGCUCCAGGCGUUGGUUAAUGGGGAAAAUCUACACUCUGAUGCAUAGAAGCAAAACUCCAAUGUAACUUUCCAGACAAGCCGGGUCAGUGUUGCCACAUGGCAGGGUUCCUCAGGAACCCCAGCAAAGGCUCUGGUCUGGCCUCCAGUUCCUGUCUGUUCCUGUCUUGUGCCUCCUGCCACCAUCCCCACCACCAGUGCCCUUCCCUUGUGGUCCCAAUACCAUGCUGUGCUCCCCAUCC
Long non-coding RNA from Lepus europaeus (European hare), 382 nucleotides. RefSeq lists it as uncharacterized. The transcript is spliced from 3 exons. The record is from RefSeq and is a predicted model, not a curated record. NCBI's taxonomy places the organism in Eukaryota, Metazoa, Chordata, Mammalia, Lagomorpha, Leporidae.